GUGUCAGCAGCCGCGGUAAGACGUAUGGGGCAAGCGUUACCCGGAAUUACUGGGCGUAAAGGGGGCGUAGGCGGUAAAAGAAGUCAUCUGUGAAAACCUAUUGCUCAACGAUAGGCUAGCGGAUGAAACUGUAUUACUUGAGUGCACCAGAGGUAGACGGAAUUACCCGAGUAGGGGUGAAAUCCGCAGAUACGGGUAGGAACGCCGGUGGAGAAGUCGGUCUACUGGGGUGUAACAGACGCUGAGGCCCGAAAGCUAGGGGAGCAAACCGGAUUAGAUACCCGGGUAGUCCUAGCCGUAAACGAUGAUCACUAGGUGUAGGGAGUGACAAACUCUCUGUGCUGAAGCAGACGCGAUAAGUGAGCCGCCUGGGGAGUACGACCGCAAGGAUGAAACUCAAAGAAAUUGGCGG
This 412-nucleotide ribosomal RNA is filed under the name uncultured bacterium. Its description in RNAcentral is "bacterial SSU rRNA". It matches the Rfam family "Bacterial small subunit ribosomal RNA", at positions 505 to 916 of the family's 1533-position model. The record is from RNAcentral.